This is a long non-coding RNA of Puntigrus tetrazona (Sumatra barb), 477 nucleotides long. RefSeq lists it as uncharacterized. Lineage: Eukaryota; Metazoa; Chordata; Actinopteri; Cypriniformes; Cyprinidae. The transcript has 2 exons. The record is from RefSeq and is a predicted model, not a curated record.
CUGGGACUGCUUUGAUGGAGUGCGCAUGUGCAGAGGUGCGCAAAGUGGCUGGUUGAUACUUUGUUCUGGUUACAGGCUGUCCACCAUAUGUCAGUUGUGGAUCCUUUCGUGUCUUUCCUGCAUAAUCUUUUGCACUGUCGGUCCCUGAGGCUGGGAGGCUAGUUAGCUUCGAGUAUUGGUGGUGGUAUAAUCGCGUGGAGUGCAGUGCUGCUUGGAUUCACCUUUCACAGAUUGUGUGUGUGUGUGGGAUGCACGAGUGCGCCAUUAGGAUCCUCACUUCGCCUAGCCUGCCCUUGCCGUUGGAAAGUCUGUGCUGUAUCUUAUUUUUCUUUUGUUUCUUUGAGUAUUCUAAAUGUCUUUAUUCGUAGGAAACAGAGCUCCCUUUUUGUGACCAUGUGAUAUUGAAUUGAUACUGAUUGAUCUUGAGACUUUUAAAUAUUUAUUGUGGAUAUCGAAAAUAAAGUUUUGUACAUUGUU